Molecule: non-coding RNA, 215 nt
Organism: Pelobates cultripes (western spadefoot toad)
Lineage: Eukaryota; Metazoa; Chordata; Amphibia; Anura; Pelobatidae
Source: the annotation of a GenBank genome assembly
CCGACAGUGGCCUAGGAAUAAAUUAAUCCAGCUGCUAUAUUAAAAGGCCCAGCAGAGGCCUAGGAAUAAGUAAUCCAGUGGAUACAUUAAAAGACACAGAAGCCUCUGAAUAAGUGACUCCAGUGCUUAUAUUAAAAGGCCCAGCAGAGGCCUAGGAAUAAGUAACCCAGUGGAUAUAUUAAAAGACACAGAGGCCUUGGAAUAAGACACAGAAG